Molecule: transfer RNA, 88 nt
Filed under: Bacillus cereus
Lineage: Bacteria; Bacillati; Bacillota; Bacilli; Caryophanales; Bacillaceae
Also listed under: 1 other name
Description: tRNA-Ser
Rfam family: tRNA
About the family: Transfer RNA (tRNA) molecules are approximately 80 nucleotides in length. Their secondary structure includes four short double-helical elements and three loops (D, anti-codon, and T loops). Further hydrogen bonds mediate the characteristic L-shaped molecular structure. tRNAs have two regions of fundamental functional importance: the anti-codon, which is responsible for specific mRNA codon recognition, and the 3' end, to which the tRNAs corresponding amino acid is attached (by aminoacyl-tRNA synthetases). tRNAs cope with the degeneracy of the genetic code in two manners: having more than one tRNA (with a specific anti-codon) for a particular amino acid; and 'wobble' base-pairing, i.e. permitting non-standard base-pairing at the 3rd anti-codon position.
Source: RNAcentral
GGAAGGUUGACCGAGUUGGUAAGGUGCCGCACUGCUAAUGCGAGGUCAUCCUUAAUUGGAUGCAAGGGUUCGAUUCCCUUACCUUCCG